GAUGAACGCUGGCGGCGUGCUUAACACAUGCAAGUCGAACGAAGCACUUUAUUUGAUUUCCUUCGGGACUGAUUAUUUUGUGACUGAGUGGCGGACGGUUUAGUAACGCGUUGGUAACCUGCCUUGUACAGGGGGAUAACAGUUGGAAACGGCUGCUAAUACCGCAUAAGCGCACAGCAUCGCAUGAUUCAGUGUGAAAAACUCCGGUGGUAUAAGAUGGGCCCGCGUUGGAUUAGCUAGUUGGUGAGGUAACGGCCCACCAAGGCGGCGAUCCAUAGCCGGAGGGAGAGGGGGAACAGUCAGAUUGGGACAGAGACACGGCCCAAACUGGUACGAGAAGUAGGAGAGGGGAAUAAAGCAGAAUAGGCGAAAGGCUGAGGCAGCGAGGGGGGGAGAGCGAAGAAGGAGUUGUGUAUGUAAAGCGCUAGCAGCAGGGAAGAUAAUGACGGUACCUGACUAAGAAGCACCGGCUAAAUACGUG
This 481-nucleotide ribosomal RNA is filed under the name uncultured bacterium. Its description in RNAcentral is "partial 16S ribosomal RNA". It matches the Rfam family "Bacterial small subunit ribosomal RNA", at positions 28 to 507 of the family's 1533-position model. The record is from RNAcentral.